RNAcentral lists this ribosomal RNA (429 nucleotides) under Acidobacteriota bacterium. RNAcentral's name for it is "Acidobacteria bacterium partial 16S ribosomal RNA". It matches the Rfam family "Bacterial small subunit ribosomal RNA", at positions 355 to 776 of the family's 1533-position model. Lineage: Bacteria; Pseudomonadati; Acidobacteriota. The record is from RNAcentral.
UGGGGAAUUUUGGACAAUUGGGGAAACCCUGAUCCAGCCAUCCCGCGUGUGCGAUGAAGGCCUUCGGGUUGUAAAGCACUUUUGGCAGGAAAGAAACGUCAUGGGUUAAUACCCCGUGAAACUGACGGUACCUGCAGAAUAAGCACCGGCUAACUACGUGCCAGCAGCCGCGGUAAUACGUAGGGUGCAAGCGUUAAUCGGAAUUACUGGGCGUAAAGCGUGCGCAGGCGGUUCGGAAAGAAAGAUGUGAAAUCCCAGAGCUCAACUUUGGAACUGCAUUUUUAACUACCGGGCUAGAGUGUGUCAGAGGGAGGUGGAAUUCCGCGUGUAGCAGUGAAAUGCGUAGAUAUGCGGAGGAACCCCGAUGGCGAAGGCAGCCUCCUGGGAUAACACUGACGCUCAUGAACGAAAGCGUGGGGAGCAAACAGG